AAGCGAGUCCCCCGGCGAAUCGGUUAGGCCCGAUGCCGGGGCGAUCGUAACCCGUGCCUACCUUACCUUCGUUGCUUUGGCGGGGCGCCCCCCCGGCCAGCGGCCCCCCGGCUGCUGCGUCCCCGCCAGAGGACCACAACCCGUGCCAUGUCAGUGUCGUCUGAGUACUAUACAAUAGUUAAAACUUUCAACAACGGAUCUCUUGGUUCU
This 210-nucleotide unclassified non-coding RNA is filed under the name rhizosphere metagenome. Its description in RNAcentral is "partial ribosomal RNA internal transcribed spacer region". The record is from RNAcentral.